AGCCUCAUUCUGGAUUAGAAUGGGUACUGUUGAUUGGUGUCCAGAAUGGGUCAAUGUGGCUAAAAUUGAGACACGGGUCAUGAUUCCACCACAGUAAAUAUUUACAAUGGUGACAAUGAGAAUUGUAACAUUU
RNAcentral lists this small nucleolar RNA (133 nucleotides) under Octodon degus (degu). Its description in RNAcentral is "Small nucleolar RNA SNORA1 (ENSODEG00000020660.1)". It matches the Rfam family "Small nucleolar RNA SNORA1". From Rfam's summary of the family: ACA1 is a member of the H/ACA class of snoRNA that guide the sites of modification of uridines to pseudouridines. Lineage: Eukaryota; Metazoa; Chordata; Mammalia; Rodentia; Octodontidae. The record is from Rfam by way of RNAcentral.